Molecule: non-coding RNA, 449 nt
Organism: Protopterus annectens (West African lungfish)
Lineage: Eukaryota; Metazoa; Chordata; Ceratodontiformes; Protopteridae
Source: the annotation of a RefSeq genome assembly
CUAGCAUAACUGACUGAUUAAAGAUUUCCAGCAUGUCUCAGACUUUCUUAUUCACAGCUAUCAUAAUGAUGUUUUUAACAGGUGCUAGUGGUCUGACGUUGACUCAGACCCCAUCAGUGGUGGUAUCUUUAGGGGACAAAGCCACAUUACCCUGCAAUCCAGAUGGAGAUCCUGGAGGCAAUGCUAUAUCAUGGUAUCAACAAAGACCUGGGAAUGCUCCACGAUACCUUCUUUAUCACUACUCUGUUUCUUCUAACAACAAAGGCCCCGGGGUUCCUGAGCGGUUCUCUGGAUUCCAAAACAAUGCUAAUAGAAUUGCACAUUUAACAAUCUCUGGUGUCCAGGCAGAGGACAAUGCUGAUUAUUACUGUACAGUAUGGGAUACUAGCACAAGCUCACGCACAGUGACACAGCGAAGGAAGGAAGUGAAACAAAAACGUCCUGCAUGA